Molecule: ribosomal RNA, 429 nt
Filed under: Bacteroidota bacterium
Lineage: Bacteria; Pseudomonadati; Bacteroidota
Description: Bacteroidetes bacterium partial 16S ribosomal RNA
Rfam family: Bacterial small subunit ribosomal RNA
Source: RNAcentral
UAGGGAAUCUUCCGCAAUGGGCGAAAGCCUGACGGAGCAACGCCGCGUGAGUGAUGAAGGUCUUCGGAUCGUAAAACUCUGUUAUUAGGGAAGAACAAAUGUGUAAGUAACUAUGCACAUCUUGACGGUACCUAAUCAGAAAGCCACGGCUAACUACGUGCCAGCAGCCGCGGUAAUACGUAGGUGGCAAGCGUUAUCCGGAAUUAUUGGGCGUAAAGCGCGCGUAGGCGGUCAAUUAAGUCUGAUGUGAAAGCCCCCGGCUCAACCGGGGAGGGUCAUUGGAAACUGGUUGACUUGAGUGCAGAAGAGGAGAGUGGAAUUCCAUGUGUAGCGGUGAAAUGCGUAGAUAUAGGGAGGAACACCGGUGGCGAAAGCGGCUCUCUGGUCUGUAACUGACGCUGAGGCUCGAAAGCGUGGGGAGCGAACAGG